This 813-nucleotide ribosomal RNA is filed under the name Discosia pini. Its description in RNAcentral is "partial large subunit ribosomal RNA". It matches the Rfam family "Eukaryotic large subunit ribosomal RNA", at positions 77 to 917 of the family's 3401-position model. Lineage: Eukaryota; Fungi; Ascomycota; Sordariomycetes; Amphisphaeriales; Sporocadaceae. The record is from RNAcentral.
GCCCUAGUAACGGCGAGUGAAGCGGCAACAGCUCAAAUUUGAAAUCUGGCCCUUGGGUCCGAGUUGUAAUUUGUAGAGGAUGUUUUUGGUGCGGUAUCUUCCGAGUUCCUUGGAACAGGACGCCUUAGAGGGUGAGAGCCCCGUACGGUUGAAUGCCUAGCCUUUGUAAAACUCCUUCGACGAGUCGAGUAGUUUGGGAAUGCUGCUCUAAAUGGGAGGUAAAUUUCUUCUAAAGCUAAAUACUGGCCAGAGACCGAUAGCGCACAAGUAGAGUGAUCGAAAGAUGAAAAGCACUUUGAAAAGAGGGUUAAAUAGCACGUGAAAUUGUUGAAAGGGAAGGAUUUAUGACCAGACUUUUUCUGGGCGGAUCAUCCGGUGUUCUCACCGGUGCACUUCGCUCAGUUUAGGCCAGCAUCGAUUUUCGGUGGGGGAUAAAAGCUUUAGGAAUGUGGCUCCUCCGGGAGUGUUAUAGCCUAUUGUAUAAUACCCUACUGGGGAUCGAGGUACGCGCUUCUGCAAGGAUGCUGGCGUAAUGGUUAUCAAUCACCCGUCUUGAAACACGGACCAAGGAGUCGAACAUUUGUGCAAGUGUUUGGGUGUUAAACCCUCACGCGUAAUGAAAGUGAACGGAGGUGAGAGCCCUUACGGGUGCAUCAUCGACCGAUCCUGAUGUUUUCGGAUGGAUUUGAGUAAGAGCAUAACUGUUCGGACCCGAAAGAUGGUGAACUAUGCGUGGAUAGGGUGAAGCCAGAGGAAACUCUGGUGGAGGCUCGCAGCGGUUCUGACGUGCAAAUCGAUCGUCAAAUCUGCGCA